Molecule: long non-coding RNA, 764 nt
Organism: Tachyglossus aculeatus (Australian echidna)
Lineage: Eukaryota; Metazoa; Chordata; Mammalia; Monotremata; Tachyglossidae
Exons: 3
Source: RefSeq, a predicted model, not a curated record
UAUUUUUCUGUGUGAAUUGUUAGCACAUAGAGGCCCCUUAAGGUUUCUGGGAUUGAGCAGCAUUUCUAGUUUCCUUCGCUUAUCAAAGAACAGCUCUUGUGUCCUAGAGAGAAGAUAUCCUUAUCAGACAGGAACAAGGGGACAUGGAGAAGCCUUGGAGAAACUCACCAGAGUUGUUUUGGUAUGAAUACAAAAGGCUCUAAAAGCAGUGUCCUGGAGUUUGCUGUUGCUUCUGAGAGAGAUCAAUGGGUAACUGGAAAGGUUAUGUUUGUUACGCCAAGUUUCAUCUUUAAUUACAUGAUGGAGCAUUUCCAUGUAGAACAGCAAGUGCUGCAGUGAUUCACCAUUGACAUUGAUCUCAUUCUGCUGUUUUUGUUUCACUGUUAUUUCAAAUUCAUUGGUAGUAGGAGAUAGGAGUAUUUUAAGACAAAGAGUAGCCUACUAACAGAAGAUGCCUGUGUUUCCUUAAGGGAUUAAAAGACAGAGGUGGAGAUAGGAAGGAGAGGAGUGCUGUUGCUUCACAUAUGUAGAGACAAUUUUCUUAUUUCAAGGAGAAAUGAACUGAGGAGGCCAUUUGAAGUCCCUCCCCUUUCACAUCCAACAGUCCCUAUUCUCCCUAUCUUCAAAAUCCUUAUAAAGCAACAUCUCCUUCAGGAGGAUUUCCCCGAUCAGGCUCAUCUCCAGGCCUUAUUUUUUCCACAAAACCUCUGUACUUGUUCCUUAACCCCUUAAGCACUUGUGCUCUCCUCCCCUUCUUUCUCCCC